This is a long non-coding RNA of Peromyscus eremicus (cactus mouse), 2035 nucleotides long. RefSeq lists it as uncharacterized. Lineage: Eukaryota; Metazoa; Chordata; Mammalia; Rodentia; Cricetidae. The record is from RefSeq and is a predicted model, not a curated record. The transcript has 3 exons.
AAAAAACAAAACAAAACUGCUUUUAUUCCAGUCUGUCACUUAAGUAUUAAGUGACAAGGUGGCACCCUCCCCUGUAGGAACAGCUUGAGGGCAGGUGUCAGCUGCAGAAGUAAAGCCAGUGUGCUCACAUAGGGAGACUUUGCACUAUGCUUUGUUCUGAUUAUGUUAUAAAUACUCACCAAUUUAGGGACCAUUAUCAACCCUCCCACUUUUCAGCAAAGGAGACCGGCAGGGGGAGCUGAGAAGGGACAAGAGACUGGCUGGGGUCGCUGGUUAUAAGCAGGUUUCGUCAGAGUGCCACACUGCCCAUGUGUGUAAUUUAGGGCAGUACCUACUCUGGGGCCCUUGUCACAGCUCACCACUUACUACUCAGGAGCGGGAAGGGGGGUUGGGGGGCAUCGGAAGCCCGGGCUAAGAGAACACGGGUUAGGGCUGCAGGCUUCCUCUCGAAGCCCCCUUCUUCCUGCCUGUGUCCCCCCUGACUGGCCUCCUGGUAUCUGUUCUCUCUUUGGUGCAUUCAUUCUUUCCAGAUUUUUUUUUCAGCUCUCUUUCCACUUGUCACAAGGGAAUGUCUGCUGGGGCGGAAACAUCGCACAUGAGCUGAAGGAGAACACGCGGCGUGAGGCGCCCAGCAAGCCUCCAGUGUGGUGGCUGUCUUGUGGUUCCUGAGUUUCCUCCAAGGGAGAUCUGAUCUGUCGUAGCGCCCCGGCAGGGUUGGUGGAGACAUUCAUCACUUCCUCCCUCAACAAAAGUUGAGAAGAGAUACUCUUUUCCUCUCCUGGGCCAUUAGGUCCCUGUGCUGACUCCAAACAAGGGCUCCCUGGCUUCUUUCUGAGUCCCUGUCCCAGCCCCGUGGGCCACCCUGGCCAUCACACAGGGUGUAGCUGCCUUGUUCUCUCCAAGCUCUCUUUCCUAGUCUCCGCUGACCGUGCUGUGCUGGAGGUGGUGACCGUAUCCCCGAGAGACCCGUUCUGGAAGCGUGGUCCUCAUCCGUGUCGGCAUGUUAGGGAGUGCUGGAGCUCCACAGAAGCCCACCGCCUAGUGGGAAGGAAUUGGCCACUGAGGGCACUGCCCCUCACGUAGUGUUGCCAAGAGCCGGGGAGCCUCAUCCUCGUGCUCUCUGGCUUCCAUCUUGCCACACGAUUUCUCCCUUUCUCGGAUGUUCCUGGUGUUGCUCCCUUCGCUGUCGUGUGAUGGAUGUGUCCAGGAGCAGGGGCCGGCAGAGCCGUGUCAUGGUGAUUGGAUUUUCAGCCUCCCAAACCAAACCGUAGAGUCCUCACCUCGGCUGUUUGGUUACCGUAGUCAAGGAAUCUGUGUGCUCUGUGAAGGUUGGAGAAAGGGGUCUUUAAGAUAAACAGUUUUAAUCUCCGAAAUUGAGUGUUACAGCUCCGGCCACCCCUAAGUCGCUGUGAAGAGGAAGGUAGAGAAUCCCAUGUGGACCCUAAAGCUGUUAUCAGCUGUGUGACACUGGGUAAGGGGAUAACGCUGGUCCUCAGUUUCUGUUUACCUAUCAGCUGUGUGACACUGGGUAAGGGGAUAACGCUGGUCCUCAGUUUCUGUUUACCUUCACAGGACCGUUACAGCGCUAAGGGAGGGAAGGGCGGAAGGACCUGGUAAUGCCUGGAGGAGGAAGGACAGUCUCUUCUACCCUCGGAAGCUUUCCUGUGAACUGGACUGGUAAAAGCUAGAACAACAGGAGCCGUCCGGGCUGAGGGCUCAGGUGCACGUCAGGGCCUGGAUUACACAGCAUCUCAACAGAAACAGCACCUCUGGGUUUCCUCACACCAUGAGCCAGAAUUAACCCUUUCUGCUCUGAGGACAAACAGGAAGGAAAAACAGGAAUUGAAUCCCCUAGCUCGUAGUCAUGUGCUUCUGUUUCUCAGAGACUCGGUUACAGUGAAGAGCCUGUUGAAGAUGAAACCAGACCGCCUUCUGAAAAAGAGGUGAAAGCUGGCCUGAGACUAUAAAAGAAACCUUUGUUCAGACCAUUUGGAAAAUGAAAUUGUUGUAGUUAUUAAAAUAGCCUUUCUUCAAA